CUGCACUCUCUCUGCAGGGUGGUGCCUUUUCAUUGUGCUACCAAGUGUUCUGCUGUGUGCUGAGAGUCUCGUGAAGGAAAAGGAUUCUUGAGCUGGGAAAAAUGAUCUUCACCAUGGCUGUGCCAGCGUGUGUCCUGCUAAUCCAGUCAGAAGUUACUCCAUCUCCCUCAGUCUACAGGCUGACCUCCAAAGAUGACCAGGGUCUGGAAAUGUGCCUUAUCACAGAUUACUCCCCUGAGAAGCUCACUCUGAACUCGGCUGAGCAGCACACAUCUGCUGUUGUGGAGGUGGCAACCACGGAGAACAGCGAGGAGUCCAGCUACCUGUCCACCUACUGGGCCAGGAGAGAUGAGCUGCACUGUGGUGCCAGCCACGAGGGCUUUGGAGAGCUGGAGGGCGAGGACCCUGAGAGUGGUGCCAGUGAUGUCUGUGUCACAGGGCUGUCCCUACAGUUCAGGACAGAUGAACACUUGAACACACUGUCUUUGUCACAGCUGGGCCUCAAAAUCGUUCUGAUGAAAGCAAUCAUUUUCAAUGUGCUGAUGACGAUGCUUAUGUGGAAGAAAAAAAAGGACUGAGAGUAACCAGGUGAUGCAGUCCUGAAGUACCAAACCCAUCUGCUUUGAGAGAGCAUCGUGAGCAAGAGGGAGCUGAGGGAUUAUUCUUUGUGCAAGGGACAUCCCUUCCUGCUCUUAUGUACCACACCAGCCAUUAUCUUCUAAAUUGCUUUAUUUGCAUUGCUAUAAAACUACUCAAAAUGAAACAUUUCCAGCAUUCUGCCCUCCAGAUGUCUGGGCCAUUCACCAUACAUUGCCUCUUUUGCAUGAAGCAGACUUUGCUAUAAUUACACAUUACCAAAAAUGUGUUGUUACUUGCAUUAAAGUGACAACUUCUGCCUGAGCAGUGCUGUGUGUUAAAAACUGCCAGCUAAAUAUGAGAAUUUUUCCUAUUUUGAUUGCUUUAGGUUAUUCAUAUGUGUUAGGGUACACCCCCAGAAACCUUUUCAGAUGCAAAUGAAACACUUUGAAAAGCAAAGGGAGUCUGACUCAAGAUGCACUGUCCUGCCACCCUUAUCUAGAUUAGAACAAGAUAUCCCAUUUUUUCCCUAAAGCAUGAGCUGCACAUCUCCCAGAAGUCCCAAAUUCAGUGAAAUUGUCACUUCAAUAUCACAGAAAAAAAAAUUAAAAAUUUUUAAAAUCUAUCUGACCAUAACACCUUCUUAAUUUAAACCAGUUUAAUUUGGCUUUGUGUUUAGUAAAAAUACAAUGUUCUUUCAAUGUUUAGUAAAAAUACAAUGUUCAUAGAAAAAUGUUCUUUUUGUUUCCUUCUAACAACCUGAGAUCUCUCUCUCUUCUUUUUGUAACAAUUGCAUAAAUAUUUACCUGUCCAUGUGGGCCCACCUUGGAACAGUGCUUGCCUGUGGCAUCUGCAUGCUGCUAAUUCAUGAACUGUACUGCCAUCCACAAGAUAUCUUGUUAUAAAACAAUUCUUACAAAAAAUGGGAAACUGGUUUGUCUCUUGU
This 1522-nucleotide long non-coding RNA is filed under the name Chloebia gouldiae (Gouldian finch). RNAcentral's name for it is "Erythrura gouldiae (Gouldian finch) lncRNA (ENSEGOG00005008489.1)". The record is from RNAcentral. Lineage: Eukaryota; Metazoa; Chordata; Aves; Passeriformes; Passeridae.